This 381-nucleotide unclassified non-coding RNA is filed under the name uncultured Gammaproteobacteria bacterium. Its description in RNAcentral is "contains 16S-23S intergenic spacer region". The record is from RNAcentral. Lineage: Bacteria; Pseudomonadati; Pseudomonadota; Gammaproteobacteria.
UCCGGUUUGUCACCGGCAGUCUCCUUAAAGUUCCCGGCAUGACCCGCUGGCAAAUAAGGAUAAGGGUUGCGCUCGUUGCGGGACUUAACCCAACAUCUCACGACACGAGCUGACGACAGCCAUGCAGCACCUGUGUCCCGAUUCCCUUUCGGGCACCCCCACCUCUCAGCAGGGUUCCGGGCAUGUCAAGGGUAGGUAAGGUUUUUCGCGUUGCAUCGAAUUAAUCCACAUCAUCCACCGCUUGUGCGGGUCCCCGUCAAUUCCUUUGAGUUUUAAUCUUGCGACCGUACUCCCCAGGCGGCGAACUUCACGCGUUAGCUACGGUACUAAAGAAGUCUCCUUCCCCAACACCUAGUUCGCAUCGUUUAGGGCGUGGACUAC